GAGAUCGUCCCACCUCAACCUCCCAAAGUCCUUGGAUUUCAGCUUGCUCAAGCCACUCUUGGUCAAAGGAAUUGGGAGUUAUCAGGCCCCUGGCAUAAUGGAGAACCACCUACAAUGGUAGAAAAUUGGCCAUGUGAGUACUUUUUUCAGUGUCUCUGCUACUGGAUAGGUUCUCCAGCAGGUUAGGGCCUCUGAGGUCUCCCCUUGGGCAACACUGUUUACCUCUUCCGUUUCUCCCUUCCACAGUCCCUCCCUUCCAUUUGUUUAGCCCACCUCUCUACCAACUGUUGCUCUCUGUGGCAUUUAGGUUCAAAAUCCAACUGCCCAUUUGAAGCUCAUAAUCCACUUAAGGAUUAAAGCUCAUAAGCCCUAAGGAACUUGACUCAAACCCUUAGAAACCUUAGCCACCAUCACAGGUCAGGCAUGAAAGGGAAUUCAAGUCCUUAGACUCUGGCAAAUGUAAUUCUCUAUAAGAGACUAGCGUUGAAUUAUUUACUAGCUGAACAAGGAGUCUGUGAAGUUAUUAGUAAAACCUGCUGCACAUAUAUUAACAAAUCUGGACAAGUUGAGAUUAACAUUCAAAAGAUCUAUGAGCAAGUUACCUGGUUACAUAACCAGGGCACUGACUCCCAACUAUAUCUGGUCAACUAUCAAAAGUACCUUCCGAGUCUCACCUGGUUUUUACAUCUCCUAGGACCUUUGAUAGCUAUCCUGUUACUAUUCUUUGUCACUUCCUUGUUUAACCUCUUAGUAAAGUUUGCGUCUUCUGGAUUACAAAACUUCCAGGUAAAGACAAUGCUGGCAGAAGAAUUCCAACCCAUCCUGUCUACUGACCCAGAUAAUGAAAAAGUGUCCUGCCUCUGGGUCCCUUAGUUGAGUUACCCAGGUAUUUUUACUCCUCCAGUGCUAGGCAGGGCCUAUGCCCAUAAGCUCAGCAGGCAACAGUGACAGAAUACAGACCUCUGCCCUUCUACAGCACCCUUAAGAUUAAGGAGGAAUAUGUAAUCUCUGAGGAGAGGAUGAGGUAGGAGGUGGAACUUCACUCCAGAGGCAGGGCUCAGACACUGGACCAGAUUGAGGAUUAGCUAAAACAAAGCCAGAGCAAAAGCAACUUUCCAGACAUACCCACCAGUGUACCAUAUCUAUUUACCACGGCCAUGGCAACACCUGGGGGUUACCUCCCUUUCCAUGGCAAUGACCUGAUGACUCAAAACUUACUACCCCUUACCUAAAAAGUUCUGCAUGAAUCACUAAUCUGAUAUCAAAGGAAAUCUGGCUGUGCAUGUGUGUGCUCUUACUAUGGGUAUCUGAUACCUUGGCAUCAACACAGAAACCCAGGACUGGGAGCAGGGACACAUGUGGCACAGGGGGAAAAUAUACUGACUUCUGUCACAGCCCAAAAGAGCAGGGUCUUAUGGUGGCAUGUGGUAAAUGGGGCAGGUGACACCAACGGAUUUAAUGUGAUUUUAAGCUGUGAACUGUGGAGAACUUUUUCCUAUAGAAAUAGUCAUUAUUGUGAAAAUUCUGAUUUAAAUAUUUCACCCAUAAAAAUAGUUGAACCAUUACUUGGCUUAAAAUAUUUGAGUUAAACAUUUUUGUUCCCAUCAUGACUUUGUGGCUUUCACUGGACCAACCCACCAUUAACAGUAACAAAACUUAAAUGAAAUACAUGAAACAGCUGCUUUAAGGCAUGAGGGUAGCCUGUUCACACAGGAUUUUCUGAGGUAGAAUUCAUGAGAAAGGGGAGAGUCAAUGAUGUAUCACACUGGUUUUUCUUAAGCACUUGAAAAUUAGCAUGAAGGGAACAUAAAGCCCCAGAAGAAAGACAGCCCACCUAGUUGAAAAAAAAUAAGCAGAAAUUUUUGUUUUGUGCAAAAUAGUGGGGCUUCUGCUUCUGGGUAGGAUGCAGUGAAUAAAGAUGAAACAAAUAUAGGAAAAAAAAAAAAAAAAAAACGGAUUCAUUCAAAUUGUAAGCUUUAAAGGCCAGAGAGGAAGACAUAAGAUUCCAAAAGUAAAAGAGCCUUUGUUAGGAGAAGUGAGAAUAUUAAAUAUUUACACACAGAACAGAAAGGUUCUUAAAGAAAAAAAAGCCCAUGGCAACAAAAAUCUCUAUGUUACGACACUUGUACCUGAUUCUGGGAGAUAUUCAUGCAAAUUUAACCACAAUUAUCCAGCACUGCCAAUUUUUAUUUAAAUAGAUUCAUUUGUAAUUAGUUCUAUUUUUGCAAUGUUAAAUUUUGUAAUAUAUUGCCUAUAGUUAUCAAUACUAUAUUAUAUACUUUAAAAUUUGCUACAGGUUGUUAUGUAAGUGGUUUUAUCAUAAAGAAAACAAUGAAAAACGAGGGAAGCAACCUUUGGAGAGGAUGAAUGUGGCAAAGAUGGUGGUGAUGGCUUCAUGGGCUUAUCCUUAUCUCUAAACUUAUUAAGUUGUAUACAUUAAAUAACAGCUUUUGUCAAUUCACUUUGAUAAAGUGGUUUAAAAA
Molecule: long non-coding RNA, 2483 nt
Organism: Cercocebus atys (sooty mangabey)
Lineage: Eukaryota; Metazoa; Chordata; Mammalia; Primates; Cercopithecidae
Exons: 2
Source: RefSeq, a predicted model, not a curated record